Danio aesculapii is the source of this 778-nucleotide long non-coding RNA. RefSeq lists it as uncharacterized. NCBI's taxonomy places the organism in Eukaryota, Metazoa, Chordata, Actinopteri, Cypriniformes, Danionidae. The transcript has 3 exons. The record is from RefSeq and is a predicted model, not a curated record.
CAUUGGAGAAUCGCUGUUUGGACGCCUGCCAGUUCCACGAGCUCCCAACAAAAGUGAAGCAGUGCUUGAAAGAUCUCCAGAUCCAACAAAACGGGAAAACCUUGAUGGAGAACAAGAGGGAAGAACGGAGACAAUACAGAAGACAAAAAAGGCUGGCGAUAGCACUCGCUCCUCCUGUGGUUAUAACUGGAAGAAAGCUGAUGCAGCCCACCUCCAAGAGCUGUAAAGAAAGCAGAACCAGUUAAACAGAGGCUCUAGACUAAUUAAAGGAAGAAAGGCUCUCUCCAGCUCUGUUAUCCUCCUUCUCAACAGCUGAAACCAUCAAAAGAAGAAAGAAAAGGAAAAACAACUUCUCAACAGCAGAAAUCUUCAUCAAAGCCUUGUGUUUCCUCACUCUGCCAGUGGUCUCGUGUAAAUCAGGGUGGGCUCAAGCAUCAUCAUUGGUGCACUAGACUGACUGCUGCUCCUCUAUCCAAUCAGUGGAAGGGGGAGUUGACGUCUCUCUAAUGUGACUCAUGGAUGUUUCAAAUAUAUUCCGUGUCAAAUACCUCAUACUGACUGAAAUCUGAAGUUACUGUGUAUAAAUGUAUGAGGUAUUUGACCGGAAACCCUCAUCCUCCACAGACAGUAACUGUCCCAACUCAUUCAGGGUCCAGAAAGGUACCGUAAAUCUCCUCACACAGAACACGUCUUCAGUGGAUCAUUUAAAAUAUUAUCAAGUCAUGAGAAAAUGCACAUUUAUAAACACUUUAUUCAACAGUUUCUCCUCCUCAGUGUC